This 95-nucleotide transfer RNA is filed under the name Streptomyces goshikiensis. RNAcentral describes it as "tRNA-Ser". RNAcentral also lists the same sequence under 2 other names. The record is from RNAcentral. Lineage: Bacteria; Bacillati; Actinomycetota; Actinomycetes; Kitasatosporales; Streptomycetaceae.
ACGGGGCCGGGCUGAUGGGGAGUACGGCCGAGUAGAACGCGGCGGCGGCGUCGGUGUCCGAGGUGCUCAGCUCGUUCCAGAUCAGCGCGCCGUGC